Molecule: long non-coding RNA, 202 nt
Organism: Selaginella moellendorffii
Lineage: Eukaryota; Viridiplantae; Streptophyta; Lycopodiopsida; Selaginellales; Selaginellaceae
Exons: 4
Source: RefSeq, a predicted model, not a curated record
CAAGCCUCUAAAAGUCUGGGCGUACGAGCUUUCGCCUUUCUGUAAGAUCGUACGAGAAAGGCUGGUUGAAUUGGAGCUCCCUCACGUUUACUACAAUGCCGCUCGUGGAAGUCCCAAACGAAAUUAUCUCUUGGAACGGACUGGAAUUUUUCAGGUUCCUUUCUUAGAAGACCCCAACACCGGCGUGGAGAUGUUUGAAAGC